RNAcentral lists this small RNA (115 nucleotides) under Marmota monax (woodchuck). Lineage: Eukaryota; Metazoa; Chordata; Mammalia; Rodentia; Sciuridae. The record is from RNAcentral.
GCCGGGCGUGGUGGUGCACGCUUGUAAUCCCAGUGGCUCAGGAGGCUGGGACAGGAGGAUCACAAGUUCAAAGCCAGCCUGAGGUGCAAAGCAACUCAGUGAGACCCUGUCUUUA